GGAACCAAAAAAGAUGUCAUCCCAGUGCCCAGACACUGGGAUCCAGAAAAUUUAAUUGCAAAUGAACACACUAAGCAAUUGCAUAAUAAAAACUGGAUUCCAGUGUCAAGCACUGGAAUGACAAAUACUCCGAGUU
Glossina austeni is the source of this 136-nucleotide non-coding RNA. The record is from Rfam. Lineage: Eukaryota; Metazoa; Arthropoda; Insecta; Diptera; Glossinidae.